GAUGAACGCUGGCGGCGUGCCUAAUACAUGCAAGUCGAGCGAACAGACGAGGAGCUUGCUCCUCUGACGUUAGCGGCGGACGGGUGAGUAACACGUGGAUAACCUACCUAUAAGACUGGGAUAACUUCGGGAAACCGGAGCUAAUACCGGAUAAUAUAUUGAACCGCAUGGUUCAAUAGUGAAAGACGGUUUUGCUGUCACUUAUAGAUGGAUCCGCGCCGCAUUAGCUAGUUGGUAAGGUAACGGCUUACCAAGGCAACGAUGCGUAGCCGACCUGAGAGGGUGAUCGGCCACACUGGAACUGAGACACGGUCCAGACUCCUACGGGAGGCAGCAGUAGGGAAUCUUCCGCAAUGGGCGAAAGCUUGACGGAGCAACGCCGCGUGAGUGAUGAAGAUCUUCGGAUCGUAAAACUCUGUUAUUAGGGAAGAACAAAUGUGUAAGUAACUAUGCACGUCUUGACGGUACCUAAUCAGAAAGCCACGGCUAACUCCGUG
RNAcentral lists this ribosomal RNA (497 nucleotides) under uncultured bacterium. Its description in RNAcentral is "partial 16S ribosomal RNA". It matches the Rfam family "Bacterial small subunit ribosomal RNA", at positions 28 to 507 of the family's 1533-position model. The record is from RNAcentral.